RNAcentral lists this ribosomal RNA (677 nucleotides) under uncultured beta proteobacterium. RNAcentral's name for it is "SSU rRNA". It matches the Rfam family "Bacterial small subunit ribosomal RNA", at positions 245 to 915 of the family's 1533-position model. Lineage: Bacteria; Pseudomonadati; Pseudomonadota; Betaproteobacteria. The record is from RNAcentral.
CUUGUUGGUGAGGUAAAAGCUCACCAAGGCGACGAUCCGUAGCUGGUCUGAGAGGACGACCAGCCACACUGGGACUGAGACACGGCCCAGACUCCUGCGGGAGGCAGCAGUGGGGAAUUUUGGACAAUGGGCGAAAGCCUGAUCCAGCCAUGCCGCGUGUGUGAAGAAGGCCUUCGGGUUGUAAAGCACUUUUGUCCGGAACGAAACGGCGAGGGCGAAUAUCCCUCGUUAAUGACGGUACCGGAAGAAUAAGCACCGGCUAACUACGUGCCAGCAGCCGCGGUAAUACGUAGGGUGCAAGCGUUAAUCGGAAUUACUGGGCGUAAAGCGUGCGCAGGCGGUUCCGCAAGUCAGAUGUGAAAUCCCCGGGCUCAACCUGGGAACUGCAUUUGAAACUACGGGGCUAGAGUGUGUCAGAGGGGGGUGGAAUUCCACGUGUAGCAGUGAAAUGCGUAGAGAUGUGGAGGAACACCAAUGGCGAAGGCAGCCCCCUGGGAUGACACUGACGCUCAUGCACGAAAGCGUGGGGAGCAAACAGGAUUAGAUACCCUGGUAGUCCACGCCCUAAACGAUGUCAACUAGUUGUCGGUCCUUAAUUGGAUUGGUAACGCAGCUAACGCGUGAAGUUGACCGCCUGGGGAGUACGGUCGCAAGAUUAAAACUCAAAGGAAUUGACG